RNAcentral lists this transfer RNA (73 nucleotides) under Stegodyphus mimosarum. It matches the Rfam family "tRNA". Rfam says of the family: Transfer RNA (tRNA) molecules are approximately 80 nucleotides in length. Their secondary structure includes four short double-helical elements and three loops (D, anti-codon, and T loops). The record is from Rfam by way of RNAcentral. Lineage: Eukaryota; Metazoa; Arthropoda; Arachnida; Araneae; Eresidae.
GCCUUCCUGGUGUAGUGGUCCGCACGCUCGGCUCAUAUUCGAGAGGUCCAUGGUUCGAGUCCCAGCGAGAGCA